RNAcentral lists this ribosomal RNA (158 nucleotides) under uncultured bacterium. RNAcentral describes it as "partial 16S ribosomal RNA". It matches the Rfam family "Bacterial small subunit ribosomal RNA", at positions 355 to 509 of the family's 1533-position model. The record is from RNAcentral.
UGAGGAAUAUUGGUCAAUGGCCGGAAGGCUGAACCAGCCAAGUCGCGUGAGGGAUGACGGCCCUACGGGUUGUAAACCUCUUUUGUCGGGGAGCAAAUUCCGCCACGUGUGGCGGAGUCGAGAGUACCCGAAGAAAAAGCAUCGGCUAACUCCGUGCC